This 228-nucleotide unclassified non-coding RNA is filed under the name plant metagenome. Its description in RNAcentral is "partial contains small subunit ribosomal RNA, internal transcribed spacer 1, and 5.8S ribosomal RNA". The record is from RNAcentral.
UCUCCGUAGGUGAACCUGCGGAGGGAUCAUUACAGAGUUCAUGCCCUUACGGGUAGAUCUCCACCCUACGUUAUCGUUACCUUUGUUGCUUUGGCGGGCCGUCAGGCCUCGGUCAGACUACCGGCUCCGGCUGGUAAGUGCCCGCCAGAGGAUAUCAAACCUUGAAUUUAAUGUCGUCUGAGUACUAUAUAAUAGUUAAAACUUUCAACAACGGAUCUCUUGGCUCUC